Molecule: microRNA, 20 nt
Filed under: Zea mays
Lineage: Eukaryota; Viridiplantae; Streptophyta; Magnoliopsida; Poales; Poaceae
Description: microRNA miR-3009
Source: RNAcentral
AGCAUCGAUUGUUGGCAAAG